GGGGGCUGCGGAGGGAUCAUUACAGAGUUGCAAAACUCCCUAAACCAUUGUGAACGUUACCUAUACCGUUGCUUCGGCGGGCGGCCCCGGGGUUUACCCCCCGGGCGCCCCUGGGCCCCACCGCGGGCGCCCGCCGGAGGUCACCAAACUCUUGAUAAUUUAUGGCCUCUCUGAGUCUUCUGUACUGAAUAAGUCAAAACUUUCAACAACGGAUCUCUUGGUUCUGGCAUCGAUGAAGAACGCAGCGAAAUGCGAUAAGUAAUGUGAAUUGCAGAAUUCAGUGAAUCAUCGAAUCUUUGAACGCACAUUGCGCCCGCCAGCAUUCUGGCGGGCAUGCCUGUUCGAGCGUCAUUUCAACCAUCAAGCCCCCGGGCUUGUGUUGGGGACCUGCGGCUGCCGCAGGCCCUGAAAAGCAGUGGCGGGCUCGCUGUCGCACCGAGCGUAGUAGCAUACAUCUCGCUCUGGUCGCGCCGCGGGUUCCGGCCGUUAAACCACCUUUUAACCCAAGGUUGACCUCGGAUCAGGUAGGAAGACCCGCUGAACUUAAGCAUAUCAAAAACGG
RNAcentral lists this ribosomal RNA (562 nucleotides) under Chaetomium globosum. RNAcentral describes it as "eukaryotic LSU rRNA". The stretch from base 198 to 351 matches the Rfam family "5.8S ribosomal RNA". Lineage: Eukaryota; Fungi; Ascomycota; Sordariomycetes; Sordariales; Chaetomiaceae. The record is from RNAcentral.